Molecule: ribosomal RNA, 778 nt
Filed under: uncultured bacterium
Lineage: Bacteria
Description: bacterial SSU rRNA
Rfam family: Bacterial small subunit ribosomal RNA
Source: RNAcentral
UNGGAGAGGAAAGUGGAAUUCNUAGUGUAGCGGUGAAAUGCGUAGAUAUUAGGAAGANCACCAGUGGCGAAGGCGACUUUCUGGACGAAAACUGACGCUGAGGCGCGAAAGCCAGGGGAGCGAACGGGAUUAGAUACCCCGGUAGUCCUGGCCGUGAACGAUGGGUACUAGGUGUAGGAGGUAUCGACCCCUUCUGUGCCGGAGUUAACGCAAUAAGUACCCCGCCUGGGGAGUACGACCGCAAGGUUGAAACUCAAAGGAAUUGACGGGGGCCCGCACAAGCGGUGGAGUAUGUGGUUUAAUUCGACGCAACGCGAAGAACCUUACCAGGUCUUGACAUUGAUGGACAGAACCAGAGAUGGUUCCUCUUCUCCGGAAGCCAGAAAACAGGUGGUGCACGGUUGUCGUCAGCUCGUGUCGUGAGAUGUUGGGUUAAGUCCCGCAACGAGCGCAACCCCUAUCUUAUGUUGCCAGCACGUAAUGGUGGGAACUCAUGAGAGACUGCCGCAGACAAUGCGGAGGAAGGCGGGGAUGACGUCAAAUCAUCAUGCCCCUUAUGACCUGGGCUACACACGUACUACAAUGGGAGUUAAUAGACGGAAGCGAGAUCGCGAGAUGGAGCAAACCCGAGAAACACUCUCUCAGUUCGGAUCGUAGGCUGCAACUCGCCUACGUGAAGUCGGAAUCGCUAGUAAUCGCAGGUCAGCAUACUGCGGUGAAUACGUUCCCGGGCCUUGUACACACCGCCCGUCACACCACGAAAGUCGGAAGUGCCCAA